Molecule: microRNA, 23 nt
Filed under: Gallus gallus (chicken)
Lineage: Eukaryota; Metazoa; Chordata; Aves; Galliformes; Phasianidae
Description: microRNA Ros-gga
Source: RNAcentral
CCUCAGUGUUUAGACUACCUGUU